AUGCUGCUAAUUGCUAAAACUACGGACAAGAGUCGGGCAACUCUGCUUUUCUUGACGAUCUGUACAGAUUCGAGUACGUUGUUGUCUACAACGCCGGCUGAACAAGUAGGCAACCGAGGUGCGAGGGGGCUCCCCCUUUUGACCCCUUGGCAGAUCUUGAGUAUCACUGGCACAUACGCUGGGCAAUACAUCAUGCAUGGUUUCAUGGACAUCAAGAUGAAGGAGUGGGCGGAACCUAAUGACCCGCAACAUCGUCAAUUUGCCAUCGUGCCCAGUUUGGUUGUCUCCAUUAUUGGAGGCUCUAGCGACAUCGGUUGUGUUAGUAUCAUUGCAUUGGUAGAUACAUUGUUCCCACCAUGGCGUCGAACAUAUAAAAUACGACAUCAUGAUAUAUAUCGCUAA
Molecule: ribosomal RNA, 402 nt
Filed under: Triticum aestivum (bread wheat)
Lineage: Eukaryota; Viridiplantae; Streptophyta; Magnoliopsida; Poales; Poaceae
Description: partial small subunit ribosomal RNA
Source: RNAcentral